RNAcentral lists this ribosomal RNA (496 nucleotides) under uncultured bacterium. Its description in RNAcentral is "partial 16S ribosomal RNA". It matches the Rfam family "Bacterial small subunit ribosomal RNA", at positions 28 to 507 of the family's 1533-position model. The record is from RNAcentral.
GAUGAACGCUGGCGGCGUGCCUAAUACAUGCAAGUCGAGCGAACAGACGAGGAGCUUGCUCCUCUGACGUUAGCGGCGGACGGGUGAGAAACACGUGGAUAACCUACCGAUAAGACUGGGAUAACUUCGGGAAACCGGAGCUAAUACCGGAUAAGAUAUUGAACCGCAUGGUUCAAUAGUGAAAGACGGUUUGGCUGGCACUUAGAGAGGGAGCCGCGCCGGUUUAGCUAGUUGGUAAGGUAACGGCUUACCAGGGCAACGAUGCGUAGCCGACCUGAGAGGGGAGACGGCCACACUGGACCUGAGACACGUCCCAGACCCCACGGGGGGGCAGCAUGGGGGAAUCUUCCGCAUGGGCGAAAGCUUGACGGAGCAACGCCGCGUGAGUGAUGAAGGUCUUCGGAUCGUAAAACUCUGUUAUUAGGGAAGAACAAAUGUGUAAGUAACUAUGCACGUCUUGACGGUACCUAAUCAGAAAGCCACGGCUAACUACGUG